RNAcentral lists this ribosomal RNA (468 nucleotides) under uncultured bacterium. RNAcentral's name for it is "partial 16S ribosomal RNA". It matches the Rfam family "Bacterial small subunit ribosomal RNA", at positions 28 to 507 of the family's 1533-position model. The record is from RNAcentral.
GACGAACGCUGGCGGCGUGCUUAACACAUGCAAGUCGAACGGAAAGGCCCUGCUUUUGUUGGGCGCUCGAUUGGCGAACGGGUGAGUAACACGUGAGUAACCUGCCCUUGACUGUGUGAUAACUUCUGGAAACUCGGGCUAAUACCCGGUAUGAUCUCCUGCUGCAUGUUGGUGGUUGGAAAGUUUCGGCUGUUGUGGAUGUACUCGCUGCUUAUCAGCUUGUUUGUGGGGUAGUGGCUUACCAAGGCUUUGACGGGUAGCCGGCCUGAGAGGGUGACCGGCCACAUUGGGACUGAGAUACGGACCAGAAUGCUACGGGAGGCAGCAGUGGGGAAUAUUGCACAAUGGGCGGAAGCCUGAUGCAGCAACGACGCGUGCGGGAUGACGGGCUUCGGGUUGUAAACAGCUUUCGAAUGUGACGAAGAGUGAGUGACGGUAAUGGGUAAAGAAGCAACGGCUAACUACGUG